RNAcentral lists this transfer RNA (76 nucleotides) under Candidatus Yanofskybacteria bacterium RIFCSPHIGHO2_01_FULL_41_21. Its description in RNAcentral is "tRNA-Val". It matches the Rfam family "tRNA". Rfam says of the family: Transfer RNA (tRNA) molecules are approximately 80 nucleotides in length. Their secondary structure includes four short double-helical elements and three loops (D, anti-codon, and T loops). The record is from RNAcentral. Lineage: Bacteria; Candidatus Yanofskyibacteriota.
GCGCGGUUAGCUCAGUUGGUAGAGCGCUUCCUUUACACGGAAGAUGUCGAGGGUUCGAGUCCUUCACCGCGCACAA